Molecule: ribosomal RNA, 446 nt
Filed under: uncultured bacterium
Lineage: Bacteria
Description: bacterial SSU rRNA
Rfam family: Bacterial small subunit ribosomal RNA
Source: RNAcentral
UGCCAGACUCCUACGGGAGGCAGCAGUGGGGGAUAUUGCACAAUGGGGGAAGCCCUGAUGCAGCGACGCCGCGUGGGUGAAGAAGCGCCUCGGCGCGUAAAGCUCUAUCAGCAGGGAAGAAAAUGACGGUACCUGACUAAGAAGCCCCGGCUAACUACGUGCCAGCAGCCGCGGUAAUACGUAGGGGGCAAGCGUUAUCCGGAUUUACUGGGUGUAAAGGGAGCGUAGACGGCAUGGCAAGUCAGAUGUGAAAGCCCGGGGCUCAACCCCGGGACUGCAUUUGAAACUGUCAGGCUGGAGUGCAGGAGAGGUAAGUGGAAUUCCUAGUGUAGCGGUGAAAUGCGUAGAUAUUAGGAGGAACACCAGUGGCGAAGGCGGCUUACCGGACUGUAACUGACGUUGAGGCUCGAAAGCGUGGGGAGCAAACAGGAUUAGAUACCCCAGUA